UGGCAUAAGCCAGCUUGACUGCGAGCGUGACGGCGCGAGCAGGUGCGAAAGCAGGUCAUAGUGAUCCGGUGGUUCUGAAUGGAAGGGCCAUCGCUCAACGGAUAAAAGGUACUCCGGGGAUAACAGGCUGAUACCGCCCAAGAGUUCAUAUCGACGGCGGUGUUUGGCACCUCGAUGUCGGCUCAUCACAUCCUGGGGCUGAAGUAGGUCCCAAGGGUAUGGCUGUUCGCCAUUUAAAGUGGUACGCGAGCUGGGUUUAGAACGUCGUGAGACAGUUCGGUCCCUAUCUGCCGUGGGCGCUGGAGAACUGAGGGGGGCUGCUCCUAGUACGAGAGGACCGGAGUGGACGCAUCACUGGUGUUCGGGUUGUCAUGCCAAUGGCACUGCCCGGUAGCUAAAUGCGGAAGAGAUAAGUGCUGAAAGCAUCUAAGCACGAAACUUGCCCCGAGAUGAGUUCUCCCUGACUCCUUGAGAGUCCUGAAGGAACGUUGAAGACGACGACGUUGAUAGGCCGGGUGUGUAAGCGCAGCGAUGCGUUGAGCUAACCGGUACUAAUGAACCGUGAGGCUUAACCUU
Molecule: ribosomal RNA, 576 nt
Filed under: Escherichia coli
Lineage: Bacteria; Pseudomonadati; Pseudomonadota; Gammaproteobacteria; Enterobacterales; Enterobacteriaceae
Description: partial 23S ribosomal RNA
Rfam family: Bacterial large subunit ribosomal RNA
Source: RNAcentral